CUACGUGCCAGCAGCCGCGGUAAUACGUAGGUCCCGAGCGUUGUCCGGAUUUAUUGGGCGUAAAGCGAGCGCAGGCGGUUUGAUAAGUCUGAAGUUAAAGGCUGUGGCUCAACCAUAGUUCGCUUUGGAAACUGUCAAACUUGAGUGCAGAAGGGGAGAGUGGAAUCCCAUGUGUAGCGGUGAAAUGCGUAGAUAUAUGGAGGAACACCGGUGGCGAAAGCGGCUCUCUGGUCUGUAACUGACGCUGAGGCUCGAAAGCGUGGGGAGCGAACAGGAUUAGAUACCCUGGUAGUCCACGCCGUAAACGAUGAGUGCUAGGUGUUGGAUCCUUUCCGGGAUUCAGUGCCGCAGCUAACGCAUUAAGCACUCCGCCUGGGGAGUACGACCGCAAGGUUGAAACUCAAAGGAAUUGACGGGGGCCCGCACAAGCGGUGGAGCAUGUGGUUUAAUUCGACGCAACGCGAGGAACCUUACCAGGUCUUGACAUCCCUCUGACCGCUCUAGAGAUAGAGUUUUC
RNAcentral lists this ribosomal RNA (517 nucleotides) under uncultured bacterium. RNAcentral describes it as "bacterial SSU rRNA". It matches the Rfam family "Bacterial small subunit ribosomal RNA", at positions 501 to 1016 of the family's 1533-position model. The record is from RNAcentral.